RNAcentral lists this ribosomal RNA (486 nucleotides) under Agrococcus sp. 029-4.1-CV-A-29. Its description in RNAcentral is "bacterial SSU rRNA". It matches the Rfam family "Bacterial small subunit ribosomal RNA", at positions 16 to 516 of the family's 1533-position model. The record is from RNAcentral. Lineage: Bacteria; Bacillati; Actinomycetota; Actinomycetes; Micrococcales; Microbacteriaceae.
AUCCUGGCUCAGGACGAACGCUGGCGGCGUGCUUAACACAUGCAAGUCGAACGAUGACGGAGGAGCUUGCUCCUCCUGAUUAGUGGCGAACGGGUGAGUAAUACGUGAGCAAUGUGCCCUUGACUCUGGGAUAAGCGCUGGAAACGGCGUCUAAUACCGGAUACGACGAUCGGAGGCAUCUCCUGGUCGUGGAAAGAACUUCGGUCAAGGAUCAGCUCACGGCCUAUCAGUUAGUUGGUGAGGUAAUGGCUCACCAAGACGACGACGGGUAGCCGGCCUGAGAGGGUGACCGGCCACACUGGGACUGAGACACGGCCCAGACUCCUACGGGAGGCAGCAGUGGGGAAUAUUGCACAAUGGGCGCAAGCCUGAUGCAGCAACGCCGCGUGAGGGACGAAGGCCUUCGGGUUGUAAACCUCUUUUAGCAGGGAAGAAGCGAAAGUGACGGUCCUGCAGAAAAAGCACCGGCUAACUACGUCCACAGCC